This 489-nucleotide ribosomal RNA is filed under the name uncultured bacterium. RNAcentral's name for it is "bacterial SSU rRNA". It matches the Rfam family "Bacterial small subunit ribosomal RNA", at positions 23 to 507 of the family's 1533-position model. The record is from RNAcentral.
CUCAGGAUGAACGCUAGCGGCAGGCUUAAUACAUGCAAGUCGUGGGGCAGCAUGAGUAGCAAUACUUGAUGGCGACCGGCAAACGGGUGAGGAACACGUACACAACCUUCCUUCAAGCGGGGAAUAGCCCAGAGAAAUUUGGAUUAAUACCCCAUAAUAUAUUUGAUAAGGCAUCUUAUUAAUAUUAAAGCUUCGGCACUUGAUGAUGGGUGUGCGGCUGAUUAGAUAGUUGGCGGGGUAACGGCCCACCAAGUCUACGAUCAGUAGCUGAUGUGAGAGCAUGAUCAGCCACACGGGCACUGAGACACGGGCCCGACUCCUACGGGAGGCAGCAGUAAGGAGUAUUGGACAAUGGACGAAAGUCUGAUCCAGCCAUGCCGCGUGAAGGAUUAAGGUCCUCUGGAUUGUAAACUUCUUUUAUAUGGGACGAAAAAGGGCAUUCUUGUUCACUUGACGGUACCAUAUGAAUAAGCACCGGCUAACUCCGUG